GGGCGCUUGGUCUAGGGGUAUGAUUUUCGCUUCGCAUCAACUGUCAGUUGCAGAGACGCGCUUGUGAAAGGUCGUGGGUUCAAUUCCCACAGUGUCCA
RNAcentral lists this transfer RNA (98 nucleotides) under Colletotrichum falcatum. RNAcentral describes it as "tRNA-Ala". It matches the Rfam family "tRNA". From Rfam's summary of the family: Transfer RNA (tRNA) molecules are approximately 80 nucleotides in length. The record is from RNAcentral. Lineage: Eukaryota; Fungi; Ascomycota; Sordariomycetes; Glomerellales; Glomerellaceae.